UACGUAGGGGGCAAGCGUUGUCCGGAUUUAUUGGGCGUAAAGGGCUCGUAGGCGGCCAACUAAGUCGGACGUGAAAUCCCUCAGCUUAACUGGGGAACUGCGUCCGAUACUGGAUGGCUUGGAUUUGGGAGAGGGAUGCGGAAUUCCAGGUGUAGCGGUGAAAUGCGUAGAUAUCUGGAGGAACACCGGUGGCGAAGGCGGCAUCCUGGACCAAUAUUGACGCUGAGGAGCGAAAGCCAGGGGAGCAAACGGG
This 253-nucleotide ribosomal RNA is filed under the name uncultured bacterium. Its description in RNAcentral is "partial 16S ribosomal RNA". It matches the Rfam family "Bacterial small subunit ribosomal RNA", at positions 524 to 776 of the family's 1533-position model. The record is from RNAcentral.